AUGAGAGGCUGAUCUCUGAAGCAAAGAAGGUGUAGCCUAAAAGAUGAGAAUGUUGAGUCUUUUGUACCUGUUGACAGCCCUUCCUGGUAUCCUGUCCGAGAUACAGCUGCAGGAGUCAGGACCUGGCCUUGUGAAACCCUCACAGUCACUCUCCCUCACCUGUUCUGUCACUGGUUACACCAUUACCAGUGGUUAUGAUUGGAGCUGGAUCCGGAAGUUCCCAGGAAAUAAAAUGGAGUGGAUGGGAUACAUAAGCUACAGUGGUAGCACUAACUACAACCCAUCGCUCAAAAGUCGAAUCUCCAUUACAAGAGACACAUCCAAGAAUCAGUUCUUCCUGCAGUUGACCUCUGUGACUACUGAGGACACAGCCACGUAUUACUGUGCGAGACACAGUGUGGAGUCUUCAGUGUAA
Non-coding RNA from Rattus rattus (black rat), 415 nucleotides. The record is from the annotation of a RefSeq genome assembly. Lineage: Eukaryota; Metazoa; Chordata; Mammalia; Rodentia; Muridae.